RNAcentral lists this long non-coding RNA (221 nucleotides) under Phoenix dactylifera (date palm). RNAcentral describes it as "long non-coding RNA (PDAC_LNC020767)". Lineage: Eukaryota; Viridiplantae; Streptophyta; Magnoliopsida; Arecales; Arecaceae. The record is from RNAcentral.
GACUUAAGUUCGAGAGUGGAAAACUCUUUCUCCACUGUGCAUACUGCCCCGGCUGAGGUCUUACGAACUCAGUCUUAUAAAUCACAUAGGAUCUCUCCUUAUCUAUCAAGGUCGAUAGAUUCCUUAUAGGUGCAUACCCUACUCCUACAGUGAACUUACUACAGCCAAUCUACACUGCAUGGACCCAUAUGGCUAGAGACCAUGUAUGUGUGUAGUCAAAC